This 72-nucleotide transfer RNA is filed under the name Leptosomus discolor (cuckoo roller). It matches the Rfam family "tRNA". Rfam says of the family: Transfer RNA (tRNA) molecules are approximately 80 nucleotides in length. Their secondary structure includes four short double-helical elements and three loops (D, anti-codon, and T loops). Lineage: Eukaryota; Metazoa; Chordata; Aves; Leptosomiformes; Leptosomidae. The record is from Rfam by way of RNAcentral.
GCAUUGGCAGUGUAGUGGUGAGCACAACUGCCUUGCAAGCAGCUGACACGGCUUCGGUUCCUGGGCAAUGCA